RNAcentral lists this transfer RNA (66 nucleotides) under Ginkgo biloba (maidenhair tree). RNAcentral's name for it is "tRNA-Lys". It matches the Rfam family "tRNA". Rfam says of the family: Transfer RNA (tRNA) molecules are approximately 80 nucleotides in length. Their secondary structure includes four short double-helical elements and three loops (D, anti-codon, and T loops). Further hydrogen bonds mediate the characteristic L-shaped molecular structure. tRNAs have two regions of fundamental functional importance: the anti-codon, which is responsible for specific mRNA codon recognition, and the 3' end, to which the tRNAs corresponding amino acid is attached (by aminoacyl-tRNA synthetases). tRNAs cope with the degeneracy of the genetic code in two manners: having more than one tRNA (with a specific anti-codon) for a particular amino acid; and 'wobble' base-pairing, i.e. permitting non-standard base-pairing at the 3rd anti-codon position. Lineage: Eukaryota; Viridiplantae; Streptophyta; Ginkgoopsida; Ginkgoales; Ginkgoaceae. The record is from RNAcentral.
UGCUAACUCAAUGGCAGAGUACUCGGCUUUUAAGUGCGUUCCGGGUUCGAGUCCCGGGCAACCCAU